GGCGUCGAGCGGCGGACGGGUGAGUAAUGCCUAGGAAAUUGCCCUGAUGUGGGGGAUAACCAUUGGAAACGAUGGCUAAUACCGCAUGAUGCCUACGGGCCAAAGAGGGGGACCUUCGGGCCUCUCGCGUCAGGAUAUGCCUAGGUGGGAUUAGCUAGUUGGUGAGGUAAGGGCUCACCAAGGCGACGAUCCCUAGCUGGUCUGAGAGGAUGAUCAGCCACACUGGAACUGAGACACGGUCCAGACUCCUACGGGAGGCAGCAGUGGGGAAUAUUGCACAAUGGGCGCAAGCCUGAUGCAGCCAUGCCGCGUGU
Molecule: ribosomal RNA, 314 nt
Filed under: Vibrio parahaemolyticus
Lineage: Bacteria; Pseudomonadati; Pseudomonadota; Gammaproteobacteria; Vibrionales; Vibrionaceae
Description: bacterial SSU rRNA
Rfam family: Bacterial small subunit ribosomal RNA
Source: RNAcentral